Molecule: long non-coding RNA, 784 nt
Organism: Panonychus citri (citrus red mite)
Lineage: Eukaryota; Metazoa; Arthropoda; Arachnida; Trombidiformes; Tetranychidae
Exons: 2
Source: RefSeq, a predicted model, not a curated record
CUAAUCCUACAAUUACCGUGUUUCCGCGCAAUUAAGCACGUGCUUAUAGCCGAGGGAAUCACCUCUUUUAGCUGAUUUGUCGCUAAACUAAGGUCGAUUUUUUUUCGGAACCAAAGCUCAAAGCCUAAUUUAAGCACGUUGGUCACUUUGAACCCAAUAAAAACGCGCUAACUUUGCUCUAAGACCAUGCUACCUCGUUUUUAAGCACUGUGCUUAAUUGCGCGGAAACACGGUAAUUAACUACAGGGUAAUUAAAAAGUUGGUCGAGGGGAAAUUAGGGUUAGAGAUGAGCAGAUAAACAUUUCACUUCAUUUCAUAAGCUGCGUGAUGAAGGAAUCGAAUUGGCUAUUCCCAUGGAAGUGAAUUAUUAAUAAUUGCAAUUCAUUUUUAGUGUUGUGUGAUAUGUGAUAUUAUUAAUCGUGAGGAGAGUACGUGUGUACGCUUCUGACCAAGAACAAUUUAGAGCUGUUACUGGAAUUCCGACUGAACUGCUUUUCGUCAGUGAACAUUAUAUCGUUCAACUGACCCACACAAUCAAUUUCGACCAAUCAAUUACCAGACAAGAGCGAUUAGAUUUUCGAUAUUUGGAAAAGCCUGAGAUCGUGAAUUGUGUAUUGCUCAUGGAUUUGUUGCAAUUUUGAUUCGAAAUGGAAAUGAUUUAUUUGCAAUUAAUUGGUUCGAAAGUGAUUAUUAAAUAGUGAUCAUUUUAAUAGAUGCUUUUUGUAACAUUUGAACAGUUUUCCAUUAUUAUAAUUAACAAAUUUUGAUUAUUUGCAAUUUAAAA